Long non-coding RNA from Culex pipiens pallens (northern house mosquito), 769 nucleotides. RefSeq lists it as uncharacterized. The transcript is spliced from 3 exons. NCBI's taxonomy places the organism in Eukaryota, Metazoa, Arthropoda, Insecta, Diptera, Culicidae. The record is from RefSeq and is a predicted model, not a curated record.
CGCAUUUCUCGUUUUACUCUAUAUAGGUACGUGUAAAUCACUCCACGAAUGUGUGUGGUCGGUUUUCCUCCAAACCGACCUGACGCCAUUUUGAACUUAAACACGAGGCGUUCAUUUCGUUUCCUGCAACACGACAAGGCGGUUGAUGGUAAGUUCUGGUGCUUGCUAAUCAAGAAUUCUAGCAAUUUUUAUCUAAUUUUCUUAUUUUUCAGCAUUUCCUCGACUAGACUUUUCAACGCUCGAUCAACAUCGUGCACUCCUCGCGUCGGCGGCGGUCCAAGUAGCUCGUCACUCCCCGAACCCCGUGAUCAAAAAGUACAGGUAGCUGCAGUGGUCGAAGUCGGAGUGGCGGCAGGCAGCUCAUCAGGAAGUUGUCGAGUUCGAGACCUUCUCCACUCGUGCUCAGCAGCUCUGGUGUCGGCGGCGGUCCAGGGAACUGACCCUCUCACGCACGGCCGAGCUCGCAUCACCAGGAAGAUGAACAAUUCACGCUGAUCGGUGCAUUCGGAAUUCCUCGAAAACGACCUACAACGAAGAGGAUCUCCAGCGCUGACCACUGAAAUUCCGCUGGAACGAUCCCUCGCGGGGGACUGGACCGGUCCACACCUGGGUUCCGGAACAUCGACACAACGAAGAGGAUCUCCAGCGAUAACCACUGCAAUUCCGCUGGAUCGAUCUCGCGGAGGACUUGACCGGUACACACCUGGGUUCGGGAAGAUCGACACAACGAAUGAAAUCGCCAGCAAUGACCACUGAAAUUCCGCUUCAA